This 1048-nucleotide long non-coding RNA is filed under the name Pogonomyrmex barbatus (red harvester ant). RNAcentral's name for it is "uncharacterized LOC105424103, transcript variant X2". Lineage: Eukaryota; Metazoa; Arthropoda; Insecta; Hymenoptera; Formicidae. The record is from RNAcentral.
UACCACGACUAGAGUGGUGACUUCCGCUUUCUUCCCCGUCGGCCAUUAUCAUGCGCAUUGUGUCGAACGGCCAUUACGUGUCAGUCAUCGGACGCGCAGCAGCCACACGUCUGGUAGAGACAAGGAAGAGAGAGACUCUGGCAUCAUCAUCGUCGACGUGUUACUGUGUCGUGACCGAUUUAACGAUUGUGGCUCAAGAAUAAACGUGACCGAGUCAGAACUUCGCGAGACGUUGCUGGCGACGGUCGGAUAACAAAAUCGUGGCAUGAACUUAGUUAUUCUGCCUACUCCUGCCUAUCAGACCUUUCAGAGACUCGAGCCUGCCUUCCUCGGCAGGGCAGUAUCAGCAAAGCCUUACUGGCAGAGCAAUAAUUCGCUACAUCCCCAUUUGCAAUAGUUUUCAAGUGUUCCCAUCCGUACGGACCAUUCUGCAGAAUCUCGCGCGUGGACCUCGUCAACUUCACGACAACGACGGCGCAAAGAGCGCACCGGUUCCAGUUGGCGUCCCAAAUUUAAGAAUGCGGAUGACAUUCCCAGGGAAGAAUGGAUGCGCAGUAUUGUAUGCAAAACGGAAAUCUCUUAAAGCACGUCCCAUUCGCGGUGAUCCUGAUCAAGAAACACGAUAAUCAUCGUUUUCAAGACUCGCUUUACAGGAUUUACUUGGGGGUGAUAUGGCGGUAUGGUAGUAUGCAUAAUUUUAUGUUCCCUCGCGAACUCUCGAAGAAUCCGGAUGACGAAUUCAAUACCAUUAGCAAAAAUCGCGGCGUGCCCCAGUGCGUGAAAAUCAGAUCUUGUAGGGCUUCUUUGAUUUUUGUUCCGUUGGCAGCGGAGUAUGCAACACUCUAUCCAUUUAGUGAACAAAUCCUGCACGACUAAUACAUACGCGAAUCCCGAUUUAUUCCGCGGAACAGGAUAUCAGCAGCAAUCACAAUCCACGGACCUUCGAUGACCCGAUGACCCAUCAGUCUCAUCGUGUGAGUCUGCUCGACUUUUGUACGUUGACAAACGUACAUCAUAGCGGCGGAGGUAUCGUGCGGUUUCUCGGUAC